AGCCCAAAUUUACGCGUUAUUUCUGACAGUAGGACCCGUAGCAGAAGCCUUCACGGUCUAGGCUCGAGACGAGACGGAGUGACCCACUAGCAGUCUCGUACAACGAACUAUCCUGUUAGCCAGCCCUAAACCCUUCUGUCCCGAUGGCGUCGUCGUCGUCGCCGCCGCCGCCGAAGCUGCCGAUUCCCGGCCGCCGCAACAUACUCAUCACUAGCGCACUUCCGUACGUCAAUAAUGUCCCGCACCUAGGGAACAUCAUCGGCUGUGUGCUCAGCGCAGACGUGUUCGCGCGGUACUGCCGGCUCCGGGGUUACAACGCUAUCUACAUAUGCGGGACGGACGAGUAUGGCACCGCCACCGAAACGAAGGCCAUGGAGGAGAAGUGCACGCCCAAGGAGAUCUGCGAUAAGUACCAUGCUAUCCACAAUGAAGUUUACAAGUGGUUUAACAUAAAAUUUGACAAGUUUGGACGGACCUCUUCUCCUGAGCAGACAGAAGUCUGCCAUGCAAUUUUCCAUAAAUUGAUGGAAAACAAUUGGCUCACAGAAAAUACUAUGCAGCAGCUUUACUGCGAUACAUGCCAAAAAUUUUUAGCUGAUAGGCUUGUUGAAGGAACAUGCCCGAACAAAGUCUGCAACGCAUCAGCAAGAGGAGAUCAGUGUGAAACAUGCAGCACCUUGUUGAAUCCAACUGAACUUAUUGACCCAAAGUGCAAGGUUUGUAAGAACACUCCACGUAUUCGUGACACGGAUCACUUAUUUUUGGAGCUUCCUCUAUUGAGAGACAAGCUGGUAAACUACAUCAAUGAAACUUCAGUUGCUGGUUUGUGGAGUCAAAAUGCUAUUCAAGCAACAAAUGCAUGGCUGAAGGAAGGGCUAAAGCCACGCUGCAUCACCAGAGAUCUUAAAUGGGGUGUUCCUGUCCCCCAUGAGAAGUAUAAAGACAAGGUGUUCUAUGUUUGGUUUGAUGCACCUAUCGGCUACGUGUCUAUUACGGCAUCCUAUACACCUGAGUGGGAGAAGUGGUGGAAGAAUCCUGAUAAUGUAGAAUUGUUUCAGUUUAUGGGCAAAGAUAAUGUGCCGUUUCACACGAUCAUGUUCCCUUCAACGCUACUCGGAACUGGGGAAAAGUGGACAAUGAUGAAAACGAUAAGUGUUACUGAAUAUUUGAAUUAUGAAGCAGGCAAAUUUUCCAAGAGUAAAGGUAUUGGAGUCUUUGGUAAUGAUGCAAAGGAUACAAAUAUUCCUCCUGAAGUAUGGCGAUACUAUUUGCUUAUGAAUCGCCCUGAGGCAUCAGAUACACUCUUUACUUGGGCUGAUUUGCAAGCCAAAUUGAACAGCGAGUUGCUGAACAACUUGGGAAACUUCAUUAAUCGUGUGCUAAGUUUUGUUGCAAAACCAGCUGGAGCUGGAUAUGGUUCUGUUGUACCCGAUGCACCUAAUGCGGGCGCGCACACAUUGACAAAAACACUUGCAGAAAAAACCAGUAAAUGGGUUGAACAAUAUCUCGACGCAAUGGAAAAGGUUAAACUGAAACAAGGACUCAAGAGUGCAAUGGGCAUUUCUAGUGAUGGAAAUGCAUAUUUGCAAGAGAGCCAGUUUUGGAAACUUUACAAGGAAGAUCCUGCAGCAUGUGCAAUCGUGAUGAAAACUUCAGUUGGCCUUGUUUACCUGCUUGCCUGUCUGCUGGAGCCUUUCAUGCCCUCUUUUUCUGAUGAAGUGUUACGUCAACUAAAUUUAUCUCCAGAAGAAAAUCUGUCAUUAAGUGAAGAAAAGGGAGAAAUUGCGAAGGCAAAAACUCCUUGGAAUUUUGUACCAGCAGGUCACAGAAUAGGGAAACCCGCACCUCUGUUCAAGGAAUUGAAAGAUGAAGACGUAGCUCUCCAUAGAGAAAAAUAUGCAGGGAGUCAAGCUGAGAGAAGCUCAAAAGCAGCAGCUGAUGCUGAAGCCAACAAAGUUGCUAACCAGCUCAAGGGCACAAAAUUAUCUGGGCUGCUCAACUCUGAAGCUCAUGAAGCUGAGCUGGUUUUGUGAAGCUGUGCUGUGCGCCUGUGCCAAACACCUCCUUAGUUUUCCUCUCGUGUCUCUUUCAGAUGGAGGAACAAAAAAGGAACCGAAGAAACAAUCUGGUGGCUCAAAAUCGAAGACAGCUGAGGCUGACAUUACAGUUGCAAAGUUGGAUAUUAGAGUGGGGCUUAUCAGAAAAGCAGAGAAGCAUCCAGAUGCUGAUUCCCUUUACGUGGAGGAGAUUGAUGUUGGAGAGGACGCGCCGAGAACAGUAGUCAGUGGCCUUGUUAAAUUCAUACCUCUUGAAGAAAUGCAGAGCCGGAAAGUCUGCGUGCUCUGCAAUCUGAAACCGGUGGCAAUGCGUGGCAUAAAAUCACAUGCAAUGGUUCUGGCUGCAUCGAAUGAGGACCACACGAAGGUUGAGUUGGUGGAACCUCCAGAGUCUGCUGCUGUGGGGGAGCGUGUUACCUUUGCUGGGUACGCGGGUGAGCCCGAGGCUUCCCUCAGUGGCAAGAGCAAGACGUGGGAGAAGCUGGCCGCCGAGUUGCACAGCAACGGUGAGCUGGUGGCGUGCUACAGAGAUGUGCCCUUCACUACCUCGGCUGGAGUCUGCAGGGUGAAGACAAUAGCGAACGGAGAGAUUCGCUAGUACCACCACAUCACCGAACUGCAGCCAGCGGAGCCAGUCUGUGUCUGGUUUCGCUGAAAGCGAUUGUUCCUGAUUUUCAUCUUCGAAAAUUUUGGUAUUUCCAUUUGUUCAAAUACCGCAAAGCAACCAUGAUUUAGAAAAAUACAGAGAGUGCCCUUUCCGCAUCCUCUUUUUUAUCAGUUAGUACUUGGCUCCUGUUGUCUCACUCGGAGGCUCCAUGCUUCUUGCUCUAUCUGUAUUUCCUUAGAAGUGAUUCUUUACCUGCUCUUAUUUAUAGUUCCAUAUGAAAGGAACGAAGUGUAUCAGAACAUCACUUUAUAUAUAGGAGGGCCUGUCUGUCACUGCCCCCUGUCAAUGCAUGGAAAGGAGCAAGCAAGGAAGCUUGAAGGAA
Molecule: RNA transcript, 3046 nt
Organism: Zea mays
Lineage: Eukaryota; Viridiplantae; Streptophyta; Magnoliopsida; Poales; Poaceae
Gene name: probable methionine--tRNA ligase
Exons: 17
Source: RefSeq, a predicted model, not a curated record